Gambusia affinis (western mosquitofish) is the source of this 1340-nucleotide long non-coding RNA. RefSeq lists it as uncharacterized. The transcript is spliced from 4 exons. NCBI's taxonomy places the organism in Eukaryota, Metazoa, Chordata, Actinopteri, Cyprinodontiformes, Poeciliidae. The record is from RefSeq and is a predicted model, not a curated record.
GCUGGACAGGGAUCUUGAAUAAUUGAGAGACACCAUGGUGUAAAACGAAGGUGGCUCCUUCGGAUGACAUUUUCCAGAGAACACUGAGAGAUGUUGACCAGGAACUUAGAGGUCAGCUGAUACGAGCACAAAAUGAAGCAAGGAGAGGGCCACUCUUCUCAACCUGAAAAGAAGAUGUAAUGGUACUUAAGCGUCUUUAUGCAGUGUAAGAAGUGACUGGUUUAUUCCAACUUGUCCUUUGUCAUGGAUGGACAGGGAGUUGUUAUAAGGCUGUCCAAGCAAGUGAAUGCCUGUAACAGGAAACUGAAGAAGAUUGUUACAGAGUACAAUAAUCUGCAGUGGCCUCCACAAACUGGCAUCUUUCCAUCACAUUUAGAAUUUUGAGAAUUGUGUGAUGCCUCCUCCCAGCUGUACACAUUGUUUGAUGAACAAAUUGAAGAUCAUGGUGUUGUUCCAAAGAACCUAAAAAGUCGAGCAAUAGAAGCCCUGCAUUUGAAGACUAGAGCAACUGAAGAAAAGCUUCUACUUAAGAGAGAGAUGAACACUGUCAUUCUUCACCUUCAUCAACAACAUGGACAUUUAAGUUCAGCUAUAAAUGAUACUGCAGAUCCUGGUUCAAAAGCUGUACUUCAUCAAAACAUUAUCAUGUUAGAAAAGAAAAUGUACAGUGCAAUGAACAUGUUCAAGAGGUUUAUCGAAGUUGGUGCCCCUCCUCCAAAUCAUCACCUACCAGAGUUUAACUCUUAUUCUCAAGCACUUAUGUCUCCAGAUCUACAUUACAUAGACUAUGAUGAAAGCAUUGACGAUGGAGAGGAUGAAGCGGAUGAUGACGACAAUGUUGACGAAGGAGAGAACAGCAUAGAUUGUGAAUCAUCUUCAUGAUUUAUGGCCACUUACUGUUCUAUGUGAAGAGCACAUAUUCCAGUAUAAAAAGUUCAUUGAUGAUUUUCAUAUAAGCUUUUUGUUCUAACAUCUCAGUUUAUUGUUUUUGAUAUUGUUGAGACAUAUCUGUUUUUUAAGUCAAGCUAUAUAUAAUCAAGGGCAUUUUAAUUUUACUCAUUACAGCUUUGUAGUCUUUUUCACAUUUAUUAAUGUUCUUGUUCAGUAUGACAUUGUUAAUGACUAAACUUUAUUUACAGUUUGAAUUUAACUCUUAAUCUUGAGAUGCUGCAUAAUCUGCUUUACAUAAUAUCUUUAAAUUUGAGCACAACAAUGAAAUAACUAAAACGUAGUGGACAAAAAUUUUGUGAUGUUCAUAUUUGAGAAAUAUUUGACUGUUAUCCAAGAAUUACAUUAUUUUGAAGGGCACUACUCUGUAUUAAAAAUUCAUUGAGCUAUGU